RNAcentral lists this ribosomal RNA (465 nucleotides) under Vreelandella stevensii. Its description in RNAcentral is "partial 16S ribosomal RNA". It matches the Rfam family "Bacterial small subunit ribosomal RNA", at positions 338 to 795 of the family's 1533-position model. The record is from RNAcentral. Lineage: Bacteria; Pseudomonadati; Pseudomonadota; Gammaproteobacteria; Oceanospirillales; Halomonadaceae.
CCCACGGGUGGCAGCAGUGGGGAAUAUUGGACAAUGGGGGGAACCCUGAUCCAGCCAUGCCGCGUGUGUGAAGAAGGCCCUCGGGUUGUAAAGCACUUUCAGUGAGGAAGAACGCCUGGUGGUUAAUACCCAUCAGGAAAGACAUCACUCACAGAAGAAGCACCGGCUAACUCCGUGCCAGCAGCCGCGGUAAUACGGAGGGUGCGAGCGUUAAUCGGAAUUACUGGGCGUAAAGCGCGCGUAGGUGGCUUGAUAAGCCGGUUGUGAAAGCCCCGGGCUCAACCUGGGAACGGCAUCCGGAACUGUCAAGCUAGAGUGCAGGAGAGGAAGGUAGAAUUCCCGGUGUAGCGGUGAAAUGCGUAGAGAUCGGGAGGAAUACCAGUGGCGAAGGCGGCCUUCUGGACUGACACUGACACUGAGGUGCGAAAGCGUGGGUAGCAAACAGGAUUAGAUUCCCUUGUAGUC